RNAcentral lists this long non-coding RNA (1337 nucleotides) under Homo sapiens (human). RNAcentral's name for it is "HSALNT0408141". The record is from RNAcentral. Lineage: Eukaryota; Metazoa; Chordata; Mammalia; Primates; Hominidae.
CCUAUUUAAUAAAUGGUGCUGGGAAAACUGGCUAGCCAUUUGUAGAAAGCUGAAACUGGAUCUCUUUGUAUUUCUAACAAAACUGUAUGAAAGAGUUAUGUAUAUUUAUUAAUUCUUUCCAAUUACUCUUCUUUCAUUCUCUGCUGUACUCAAUCCAUUUAUGGUUAUACCACCACCAUUCACUAAAAUUGAAGCUUUUACUUUGGUCUAGUGGUCAGUUGACCUACCACUAGCUUUUGUCACAAUGUGACUUCCCAAUGUACAUCUCUGGCCUAGCCUUUUCCCUUGAACUCCAGACUCCUCUAUCCACCUGCUUAUUUCAUGUUUCCACUUGGAUGUCCAAGGAGUAAACCAAACUUAAAACUGAAGCCCUUAUGUGGCAUCCUUUCCAAUAUGGUUUUUCUAAAAUCAGUUAAAGGUAAUUCUGUUAGACAAAAUCAAAACCAAACAUUAUUAGAGUACAGUCAUGUUUUAGCCCUCUGUUUUUUCAUAUAUUACAUCUGAUCUAUCAGCAAAUCUUACCAUUUCUACCUUUAAAAUGUAUUCAAAAUCUAAUCAUUUCUUAUCCAAUGUCUAAUGCACCUACCGUGACCCAAGCUAUCAUUAUAUCUUACCUCAGUUAGUACAGUGAACUUCUAAUUUGUCUCCCUGUUCCUGACUCUUGUCCCCUAAGUAUUAUCUUAACACAGCGGCCAGAGAGAGCAUUUUAAAAACAGAAGCCAGAUCAUGUCACUUGUCUGUUCUUGUUCUCAUCCUACUCCAAGUAAAGCCAGAGUCUUAAAAUGGCCUAUAAAGCCAUAUAUGAUCUGACUAUUAUCUAUCUGAUUCCAUCUGCUCUUCUACUCUUCAUUCACUCUGCUUCAGACACAUUGUACUACUGUGUAAAUGACACAUGCUUGCAUAAGCUCCCCUUUUUUGCUCUUUUUCUUCCUGCUGUGCUGAAUAUCCAUAUGACUAGGUUCUUAUCUUCCUUCAGCAGAGAGAAAACCAUUUUUCUUUCAGGUAUUUACUUAGAUGUCACCUUCACAGUAAGUCUUUCUGGGCUAUCUUCUGUAAAAUUUCAACAACCGCAAUCCUAACUCUUCCUAUCCUCAUUCCCUGCUCUAUUUUUACUUCCUGAUACCUGCCACUAGUUAACAUACUAUUUUAAUUAUCUGGUUUAUAGUCAGAUUCUUUAACUAGAAUAUAAGCUCCAUAACAACAGGGGUUUUUGUGUUUUGGGUUCACUACUGAAUUCCACAUGCCUAGAAUACUGUCCGGCAUUUGCUAGAUGCUCAGUAAACAUUUGUUUUAUAAUGUGAAUUUUAAAACUAGCUAAAAUAACAAAAAUUAGGCAC